UUCAAACAAGUUGAAGAUGGUAACUCAAAG
RNAcentral lists this non-coding RNA (30 nucleotides) under Mus musculus (house mouse). Lineage: Eukaryota; Metazoa; Chordata; Mammalia; Rodentia; Muridae. The record is from RNAcentral.